Molecule: ribosomal RNA, 930 nt
Filed under: uncultured bacterium
Lineage: Bacteria
Description: bacterial SSU rRNA
Rfam family: Bacterial small subunit ribosomal RNA
Source: RNAcentral
AGAGUUUGAUCCUGGCUCAGAACGAACGCUGGCGGCGUGCUUAACACAUGCAAGUCGAACGCGAAAGGGGCUUCGGCCCUGAGUAAAGUGGCGCACGGGUGAGUAACGCGUAGAUAACCUGUCUUUGUGUCUGGAAUAAUACACCGAAAGGGGUACUAAUACCGGAUAUUCUUGCUUUUCAUAAGUUGAGUAAGGAAAGGUGGCCUCUGGUAUAAGCUACUGCAUAAAGAGGGGUCUGCGUACCAUUAGCUAGUAGGUGGGGUAAUGGCCUACCUAGGCGACGAUGGUUAGCGGGUCUGAGAGGAUGAUCCGCCACACUGGCACUGGAACACGGGCCAGACUCCUACGGGAGGCAGCAGUGAGGAAUAUUGCGCAAUGGGGGCAACCCUGACGCAGCGACGCCGCGUGAGUGAGGAAGGCCUUCGGGUCGUAAAGCUCUGUCAAAGGGAAAGAAGUGCAUGGUGGUUAAUACCUGCCAUGUUUGACGGUACCCUUAAAGGAAGCACCGGCUAACUCCGUGCCAGCAGCCGCGGUAAUACGGAGGGUGCAAGCGUUGUUCGGAAUUACUGGGCGUAAAGGGCGCGUAGGCGGUUUGAUAAGUCAGAUGUGAAAGCCCACGGCUUAACCGUGGAAGUGCAUUUGAUACUGUUAGACUUGAGUACCAGAGGGGAAAGUGGAAUUCCCGGUGUAGAGGUGAAAUUCGUAGAUAUCGGGAGGAAUACCGGUGGCGAAGGCGACUUUCUGGCUGGAUACUGACGCUGAGGCGCGAAAGCGUGGGGAGCAAACAGGAUUAGAUACCCUGGUAGUCCACGCUGUAAACGAUGUCAACUAGAUGUAGGGGGUGUUGAUCCCUUCUGUGUCGCAGCUAACGCAUUAAGUUGACCGCCUGGGGAGUACGGUCGCAAGAUUAAAACUCAAAGGAAUUGACGG